CCUACGGGUGGCUGCAGUGAGGAAUAUUGGUCAAUGGACGAGAGUCUGAACCAGCCAAGUAGCGUGAAGGAUGACUGCCCUAUGGGUUGUAAACUUCUUUUAUAUGGGAAUAAAAUGUUCCACGUGUGGGUUUUUGUAUGUACCAUAUGAAUAAGGAUCGGCUAACUCCGUGCCAGCAGCCGCGGUAAUACGGAGGGUCCGAGCGUUAUCCGGAUUUAUUGGGUUUAAAGGGGGCGUAGGUGGAUUGUUAAGUCAGUUGUGAAAGUUUGCGGCUCAACCGUAGAAUUGCAGUUGAAACUGGCAGUCUUGAGUACAGUAGAGGUGGGCGGAAUUCGUGGUGUAGCGGUGAAAUGCUUAGAUAUCACGAAGAACUCCGAUUGCGAAGGCAGCUCUCUGGACUGCAACUGACACUGAGGCUCGAAAGUGUGGGUAUCAAACAGGAUUAGAUACCCGUGUAGUC
RNAcentral lists this ribosomal RNA (460 nucleotides) under uncultured bacterium. RNAcentral's name for it is "partial 16S ribosomal RNA". It matches the Rfam family "Bacterial small subunit ribosomal RNA", at positions 338 to 795 of the family's 1533-position model. The record is from RNAcentral.